GCUCGGCCAUGACGCGGCAUGCGACAAAUUUUACAACCGUCUUCCACAUCCUCUCUCUUCUAUAAAUACAUCCCUAGCCGUCAGAAAGCUCCUCGUCUCACCCCAGAUCCAUGAAGGGCAGCGGUUACCAGGUACGCAGGACCCUCUCCUUCUCCCUCUCUUCCUCGUAGACCCCUAAGCUCGCGGUAGCGACGACCUGCGCGCGCAGAUUAGGCCACCAGCAUGCGCGGCACCUCCGUCAUGCUCCUCAUCGCGACGCGUUACCUUCCUAGAGCCGAGCGCGUGUGAAUCCUGGCCGGAACCCCCGCUCGACUUCUUGACCAGGACGCGAAAACACCUCCAGGCAAACGACCGCGUCGCGGCAAGGCAAGGCGAUGCCCCUGCGCGUGCUAUAGCUUGGCCGGCCAGGAGGCCAUGGCGCGCGGCAGCCGGCGCGGCGGCCUGACGGCCAGCCAGCGCGGCACGCGGCCAGCCCGGCGUUCCUGCAAGCAGCACAGCACCCUGUGACCCGCCCUGACGCGGCCAUGGCUAGAGGCCAGUUCUCCUCUUCAGCGGCCGAGCUCGCUCCUGCCCAAGUGUUUUUCGGGUGCGGCAACCAUGCGCGCGGCCAGCCGCCGCGAGAUCCACCCUGGCCAGCGAGCCACCAUCGCUCGGAGUCUCUGCGCUCCGCGUUUCGCGUAGAAGAAACCACCGUGUGCGUUUUCAGCCAAGGAAGAAAGUAGAAAUGACGUGGGGUCCACUCUACAUGGCCGCAUGCACGCAAAUCCCACCACCGUACACACAUCGUGCAACAACCGCAUGCAUGAGCCCCUUGCAUGUGAUGCAAACGACACCUCCGUAUGUGCUUGCAAAUUGCCUGGCCCCACCCACAUGCAUCCACGAGAUCCUAGAAACCAGCCCUCACAAUGGAUCCCACAUCUUCUAUGACCGUUUUUCAUGUGGUCCAUCGUAUGGUUAGCCUUCCACCAAUAGAAUCGUGCCACGUAGUCUAAAUUCAAGAAACACUAGUUAUUCAAUAUAUAUGUUGCGCUGCGAGUCCGUCUCGACUCGUUUCAGUCGUAGCAACUUCGUAAUAACCUCAACUACAUGUUAGUAAUAUUAUUUGGUCGUAACGCAUGUUUUCGUUAAUUAGGUAGUUAAACUGAGGUUUAUUUGAACUUAAAAUUAAGGUAUAGUUUUAAAUGGUGAUUUUAUAGAUGCAAAUUAAUGUGGUUAAUGCCGACUCAGAUGUUUUCAACUAAUAUUUGUUUAAUGUAAAUGUAACGUCUGUUUAGCUUUUCUCGCGUAUCGCGCGUGUCGUUCGCGCGUGUCGUGCGUGCUGUUUCACACGUGUUGUCCGCACGUAUCGCGUGUGAGGAUCGUGCGUGUUCGCACGUCGUCGCGCAUUGUUCGCGCACUAUCGCUUUGCUCGCACGUUGCCGCGCGAGUGUUCGCGUGUCAUUCGCGCGCUGUUUGCGCGUCGUUGUCACUUCCUUCGCGCGUUCGUGUCGCACGUCUAGUUCGUGUGUCGCGCGGCGUCUGCGCGUAAUAAAUUGUUGUCACUUGUAAACGCUCAUGUUAAUAACGUUAAUUCGUCAGGUCACAUAUUUUGGAUAAUUAACUUAAAGUCUGCUCGACUAAUAUGUAUUAGAUUAAUAUUCUAAUUAGAUUAAAUAUGUAGUGUUCAACUCGUGCUUGUAGAAUAAACAUUAACAUGGAUAAUAUUAACUUAACUACUUAUUAAAUAAUUAUUUAGUAUAAACGCGUCACGUAUUUAGUCUUUCUCGCCUGUUGCACGAGUUGUUCCGCACGUGGUGUCGUGCUGAUUCGCGCGUCGUUCGCGCUGGUCGCACACACUGUUUCGUGUGUCGUCAGUGUGCUAUGGCGCACGUGUCCGCGUGUCGUUCGCACGCUGCCGUGAUGUUUCGCUCAUCGUAAAUUCGCCUCGCUUAGAAUCUCUCGUUUUAAUUAAAUUAUUGGUUUAAUUGAUAGCUGCUAGUGUAGCAGGUUAAGCGAAACUAAAUAUUAGAUAUAACUUAUAUUGGGUAAUAUCGAAUUAAAUGUUAUAAUUGAUAUUGAUUUAGCGUAAACACGAUAUCUUCCCGACCGUAGCUUCGAGUUCGAUAAUUCUUUUUUCCUCGCGUGACCGUAGUAACGCACUCUAUUUCGUUUUGCAUAUUUUAUUAUGUUCUUAUUUUAAUGGUGUAAUGUUCUUAUGCAUAUAUAUAUAUGUUUGUUUGUACCUGUUUGUAUUCGUUGUGCGUCGCGAAUAGAUUGCGAUCCGUUUCUGAGCUUUGAGGGAUCAAAGAUCAAGAGUUGGCGACCAAGUGAUCUGGUUCUUCGAGUUCUACGAGAUUCAAGACCCUGAGCAUCUGUUUGGUGAAGACAAGUGUCCUCUGACCCAUUAUGUCUCAUUUACUUUAUAAUACACUGUCCCGCAUACUAUGAACAACCUAAGGAUUUACUAGCUUUCUAUUUACCUUGUCCUUGAUUUACCUUUUGGGUUAGUAUGGUUAGCUACAUGCUAGCGCUUUACUUUAAUCAAUGAACAUGAUGAGAUACAAUGAUGAUACUAUGAUUUUAUUCUGGAUAUGAUGAUAUACUUGUGGCAUUUAAGGGGACUAAGGCUGUUUCCCGAGUACCUCUCCGUAAGGACCUGUUCGUUGAGAGACCACCUGGGAUAACAGUGCAAUCAUGAGGGUGAAAUGGGAUGCCCUUAGCUAAUUAAUUAGAGGAACUAGAGGUGUAGUUGCUUCGCCGUCGUGCCGUCAAUGGGGUCCAGGCACAGUGCUUGCUCUACCGAGGCUGAGUGCCGAGGUUCUUUCGUUUUGCUUUUGUUAGUCACCCUCCUGCGGGGAGAGGUACUGUGUUUAUCAAACUGGAGAAACCUAACGGGCGGCUAUGACCUCUAGUGAAUCUUUGUAAAAGCUACGUAGUGAUACCCUGCCGGACCACCUAGGAAGUGAUCAAUGGGGAGUCAUGAUCCCCGGGCAAAACGGGAAUCACGGCUCAUGGGUAAAGUGUGCGACCUCUGCAGAGGAUUAGAAACUGAUAUAUCAGUCGUGCUCACGGUUAUGAGCGGCCUUGGGAUCCUCUUUGAUUAGAGAUACAUAUGAUCGAGAUACAAUGGUUCUAUUUAUGGUUUUGGUCCGAUGAUGAUAAUGAUGCUUCCUCGAUGAGGAAAUGGUUCACGGGUUGGUUAUGUGAUAAAACUUGGCUUCCACUAAUAAUAAACACCUGGCCAACUAAAAGCAACUGCUUGAGCUUAACUCCACAUAAAGCUAGUCCACCUCAGCCAAACAGGACAUUUGCUGAGUACGUUGAUGUGUACUCACCCUUGCUUUCACAAAACACCAGGAUGCCUUUGGUGCAAUCUAUGCACAGGUAAAGAAGAAGGCGUCGAGGCGGUUCUCCAGGAGUUCCAGGACUUCGACGAGUUCGAGGAUUAGGCUAGCGACCUCCCCCAGUCAGCUGCCUGUGGUGGGUUUAUUUACAUUGGCUACGUUUCGAUUCUGUGUACUUUGAUUCAUAUUAUGUAAAUGACUCUAGUCUUUAAUAUCAUUAUUUAUUCUUUAUUGUUAUUCGAAGCAUUGUGCUAUGAUGAGUCAUUUAUGUAAUCGCUGUGUACGUGAAUUUCUGAUCCUGGCACGUACAUGGUUCGCAUUCGGUUUACCUUCCAAAACCGGGUGUGACAUAAGUGGUAUCAAAGCCAGGCUGACUAUAGGAC
This 3706-nucleotide long non-coding RNA is filed under the name Zea mays. RNAcentral describes it as "long non-coding RNA (ZMAY_LNC000187)". Lineage: Eukaryota; Viridiplantae; Streptophyta; Magnoliopsida; Poales; Poaceae. The record is from RNAcentral.